GGCCCCUGGCCAGUAGCACACAGACCUGUCACCACUCUCCCUCAACUGCAGGGCCAUCAGUGCAGCCGUGGCCUCUGGCACGCCUGCCACACCGGCACCUGUCCGCCACUGCCCCCUAGAUCGUACCCAACGCACACCUGUGCCACCCCCUCCUGCACUCGGUUUGCGCAUCUCUGCACCUCUCCCCCUGCGCCCCUUGCCCUGGACGCACCUGGAGGUUGCGCUUGCGCUCGCAGGCCGGGCCCGUGCCCUGCACCACGCUGUCCAGCACCGCCACCACCCCGGCCGCCGGCUCCACGAAGCAGGCGGCGCGUGCGGAGCGGAUAGCAGCCUGCACGUCGGCGAAGAGGAAGGCGCAGAGUGCGGCGGGAGCAGGCGCGGUGCGGGGCGCGGGGAUCGCCGGGGGCCGCUCGAAGACACCGAAGAGGCGCUCUCGCGCGGGGAACACGGACACCAGGCGGCUGUAGAGGUCACCGCGGCCCGCGCCUCCCGCGCACUGCAGGCCUAGCUCAAUGUAGGACUCAGUGAGCUUCUUGGCGUCGCCGCGCGGCAGGCAGAUGCGCGCCAGCAGGCUCCGCGCCUGGCCGUCCUUGUCGCCCGCUCGCGCUUCGCUAGUGAACGCCAAGUAGGCGUAGGGCUGCACACCCGGCGGAUGCAGGAAGGCGCGCACGAAGCGCAGCCGGUGCCGCUCCUUGGCGCCCUGCUUGAUCUUAAGCACAUUGUCGUCCGACGGGUUCAAGUCGAAGCAACCCCUGCCUCAAAUUGCAAGCCUAGGGUGACAGAAGCCUCUGAAUUCUCCAUGGACGUCGAGAGCAGAGCCUGGCACAGCCCCACACAGGGCCAGGCCGGAGCGAGAACCCUGGCGGGCAGUCAGGAGGGGAGAACACAGAGCCCCUGCAUCCCCCACCCCUCUCCUCAUCCUCUGCAGGCCGGAAGGAAGCCCAGGCGGGAGUCUGGCCCUCAGCUCCCAGAUGAGGAGAACUCGCUCAGAAGGAAAAUAACAUCAGUGCCAUUGUCCCGGCUCCAAAUCCUGCCUGAAAAACAAAGCCAGCCCCACUGCAGCCGGGGAUUCCCUGGCAAAGCCUCAGCCCGGCAGCCUGGUCAGGGCGGCGCAGACCCGCAGGGAGGCAAAGGGGUCAGCACCUGCAGUGGAGACUCCCGUGUACCCCACAAGCCCGGCAGCUGCCGCCAAGGGCUGCAGAGGCGGCUGGGGAGGAGGACGGUAGGCGGCGCCCCCUGAACAUCUGGCGACUUCUGCCCACUCCUGGACAGCUGUGUGCGGCUCUCAAAUUUCAACCCACCUCUCUCCUCCCCCGCAGCUGGCUGUGUCCACUCCUGGAUCCACCCCAGGGCCCGGGCAAGGGGGACAGGAGGCACAGAGUGUGGGGGAUGGGGUGGGGGUGGCCCGUGGGCUGGGAGGAGGCCCUCGGGGGUUU
This is a long non-coding RNA of Heterocephalus glaber (naked mole-rat), 1436 nucleotides long. Lineage: Eukaryota; Metazoa; Chordata; Mammalia; Rodentia; Bathyergidae. The record is from Ensembl.